RNAcentral lists this transfer RNA (68 nucleotides) under Hoplopleura akanezumi. RNAcentral's name for it is "tRNA-Trp". Lineage: Eukaryota; Metazoa; Arthropoda; Insecta; Psocodea; Hoplopleuridae. The record is from RNAcentral.
AAGGCCAUAGGUUAUGUAAACCCUCACUGUUCAAAAGUGGUAAAGAGGGGCUAUUCUUUCUGGCCUUA